GUGGGGAAUAUUGGACAAUGGGCGCAAGCCUGAUCCAGCCAUGCCGCGUGAGUGAUGAAGGCCUUAGGGUUGUAAAGCUCUUUUGUCCGGGAAGAUAAUGACUGUACCGGAAGAAUAAGCCCCGGCUAACUUCGUGCCAGCAGCCGCGGUAAUACGAAGGGGGCUAGCGUUGUUCGGAACCACUGGGCGUAAAGCGCACGUAGGCGGACCAGUAAGUCAGGGGUGAAAGCCUGGAGCUCAACUCCAGAACUGCCUUUGAUACUGAUGGGCUCGAGUAUGGAAGAUGUUGGUUGAACUGCGAGUGUAGAGGUGAAAUUCGUAGAUAUUCGCAAGAACACCGGUGGCGAAGGCGGCCAACUGGUCCAUUACUGACGCUGAGGUGCGAAAGCGUGGGGAGCAAACAGGAUUAGAAACCCUAGUAGUCC
This 425-nucleotide ribosomal RNA is filed under the name uncultured bacterium. Its description in RNAcentral is "partial 16S ribosomal RNA". It matches the Rfam family "Bacterial small subunit ribosomal RNA", at positions 354 to 796 of the family's 1533-position model. The record is from RNAcentral.